GGUAGGGUAUCAGAGAAGGGUGAAGGGGCUAUAGAGGAAAAAAUAUACAACAAGCCGUCUACACUCAAAAAAACAGGGGUUCAACAAGGUUCUUGCAGGAACCUAACUGCCCAACUGAAAUAUUUUUAUUUGGAUUUGAGAAGACAGCAGGUGCAGGCACUUAAAUUGAGAUCUUUCCAUUUUUCAGUUAAGGUAUUCUGACGAGGAGGCACACAAUGGACACUGUCAAGUUGAUAAGGCUAGUGGAACCUGACUAUCCAUGUAUCACCAGACUGGAAAAAUGUGUCUCUGAAUAUGAUUAAAUAUGUAAUUGUAAUACAAUUGGUAUUGGUUGUCUCAUAAAUCUAUGCAGAUCACAUAUAUAAUCUACAAUUAAUUUGAAUGAAUGGCUUCUCUAAAACCUUAUAGGAAUCAGUCACAGCAGCCAUCUUCCUCCUCCCUGACCUAUUCAAUGAAGAUCCCAGAGGUCUCUACAUUAUGGACGAGACUUCACCCACCCUACACCUCUGAUGAAUAUAACAGGAAACCUGUUUGAUCACCAUGCACUGCAAAACCAUUCUGUCUAUGGAUAUCCUACAGAGGGCAUCAACACGCCAGAUGAUAUACCUAUUGGACUUGCGGCUGGGAGUGUGCCUCAAUUUUAUUUUUGUAUUCUGCUUUGCCACUAAAAUCAUAUCAUAAACUGGGUGGUUCGAGGCCUUAAUGCUGUAUACCACGGGUAUGACAAAACAUGUAUUUGUACUGCUCUAAUUACAGCGGUGCUGUAAACACUUUAGUAUUGGUAUAACUGCCACAGGUGGAAUCUGAGUAUGUACGCCUAUUUUGACCGCUUUUAGCUCAAUUCCACCGCACCACGUUGGCUGUCCAUAAUAACUGUGAGAGAGGUUUCACCUGGCUAGAGCUAGUGAUUUUUUAAAUAAACGAUCGCAAACGUUUCCUCCCUUCCAGAGCGAGAAGGGCAGAGAGGUAGACCACCACAGCGCGAUGCCUAAGUAGGCUAGCCAUGCACCUGCUGCUGUUGUUUUAGUCAUCCUGAUACGUCUAUUAGAACCCCUCCAACAAAGCUUUCCAAAUGCCCCUGCAAAUUGUGCGAGUACGUGAGUGAGAGAAAAUUAGUAGGCCAUAUAUUAGAGAUACAGAGCGAAAUAUCAUUACUGUGUCCUCCCUUCCUGCCAUGCAUGACUUCUCACAUCAAUACUUCUGUCCAAUACACUAUAGUAUCACAUAUGAUGUUUCCUCAUUACUCAGGCCUGAUUAAGUCACAGACCCGAAGGUUGUGGAGCUUCACUGCGUUAUUUUCUCAUUUCCAUCGAAACACCGCGCAUUUAUCUGGGUAAUUUUUUACUUUUCACCCCUUUAGAUCCCUGGUAGGAGCUGCACCUCAUACGAACGCUUUCUGUGAAACGAUCAUGUCAGGCAGGCGCAUUAGAAGAAGUGGGUACGUGGGUCAGCAGCAGCUCGAGCGAGCUAUGUUUAGCGUCAUGGUGGGCGUUUAAGAGAGAAGAGGACUGGAGAUGUUACAAUGCAUGCAGGCCUACUUUUUUUAAAUGCUUUGUGCGUCGUGUCACUUAUAUCCCAUUGCCUAGUAUAAGGCAAGGCUAAGUAUGGUCUAUAGGCUAAGCAAUAUGCAAAGCACAUAGCUAAGGUUACUGCCUUUCUAGGGAGUAUUUCCUAGCCACGGGGCUUCUACAUCUGCAUUGCUCUCUGGGGUUUUAGGCACGGUUUCUGUAUAAGCACUUUGUGACAACUGCUGUUGUAAAAAUAGCUUUAUA
Non-coding RNA from Oncorhynchus mykiss (rainbow trout), 1772 nucleotides. The record is from RefSeq and is a predicted model, not a curated record. Lineage: Eukaryota; Metazoa; Chordata; Actinopteri; Salmoniformes; Salmonidae.